AUUUGGCAGACCUCCCUCAAGUUGCUGGAUGCAGGGGCUCGGGCGUGAACUGGAAGAGCAGUGUUGGCAGAGCUCAAUCCACCCGGACGAAGCUACCGCCAAAGGAGUGGAGCUGCUGCAGGGGACUAUAGUGGCUGCCAAUGCUCCAUUCUGGGUGUGGCUCCUGUUGCAAGGUUGGGGCUGCCAUGAGGGGUAGGAGUAGGGAGGUUAACCAAAACUAGCCUGGGAGGGAGGUUGUGGGGGAAAUUGAGGAAGCUGGCAAAGCUCCAGACUCUCAGCAUAUGAGGGCUGAUGAUGUGAAUGAUACAUGGUGUGGACUGCAUCCUGUGGUGCAAUACCCUGAAGAGGGUUUUGGCCUAGGGAAGUGGUCGGUGCUGUGUAGAGCUGGGCUGAUGUGGGCCUGGUCUGGUACAGCUGUGUUGGGCCCGUCUGGUAGAUCUAUGCUGUGAUGGGCCUGGUCUGGUACAGCUGGGCUGAGUUGAUGUGGGCCUGGUCUGGUACAGCUGUGUUGGGCCUGGUCUUGUUGAGCUAUGCUGUGAUGGGCCAGGUCUGGUUGAGUUGUGCUGUGAUGGGCCGGGUCUGGUAGAGCUGUGUUGAUGCGGGCCGGGUCUAGUAGAGCUGUGCUGUGAUGGGCCGGCCCUGGUCUGGCAGCAUGGGAGGGAGGUUGUAGGGGGGUGUGGCUGGCGAUGCUCCAAACUCUGUGCCGGGCCUCUGUGACUGCGUAUGGCAUAGCUCAGUGUAUCUGCAUGCAGUUCCUGGGAGAGAAGUGGUGAAGGGUGGUAUGAGGGGUAGCGUUUCUACUUGUUCUCCAGUCUUUCUGAGGCACCACUGGAUGCAAGUCUAUAGGAGCAUCUGAUUUGUCUCACAGAGUUGGUGGCUGGUCUGCUGCUCCUGUGGGGUGAGGUGGACUGGCCAACAUUCUUUAACGUCCUGGCGAAGGUGGGGACUGUAUCUUUGUACAGGUGUACAUUGUCGUACAGACUGUCCAGGCUGAGGGUGGGAUGGCGGGCCAGGUGUACGUUGAGCCAUAACACACAGUCCUGAGAAGCUGGCAUUUACCCGAUGGAUGGUGGCAGGGUGAACAUCUCUCCUCUGGAGCAGGGUAUACAUUACAAUCUUUGCAAGGCGGAAGAUGGUGGAGGUCCUCUCCAUCACUCCCCCUAGUGACGUGGUCACUCUCUCCUGUUGGGCACGCAGGUCAUUGGUCCCUGUGUGAAUGAGGAUAUGGCUGGGGGAGCCAAGUUGGGCCACAGUCAAGAGCUCCAUACCUCACUCUGUUGUGGGGCACCAUAACUUUGCCACCACUUUAAGUGGGAAAAGUUUAUUCUAUAAUACGGUGUCUCUCACUGCUCUAAUAUAAACUUUCCAUUGGAGACAAUCAUUAAUAUAGUGUUUGGUUUCUCGUCAGGUUUGUGGAGGAUGGCAGGAGUGAUGGGAGCAAUUACAGGCUGUGAGAUCA
Molecule: long non-coding RNA, 1459 nt
Organism: Oncorhynchus tshawytscha (Chinook salmon)
Lineage: Eukaryota; Metazoa; Chordata; Actinopteri; Salmoniformes; Salmonidae
Source: Ensembl